Molecule: ribosomal RNA, 897 nt
Filed under: uncultured bacterium
Lineage: Bacteria
Description: bacterial SSU rRNA
Rfam family: Bacterial small subunit ribosomal RNA
Source: RNAcentral
GGCUCAGACGAAACGCUGGCGGCGUGCCUAAACAUGCAAGUCGAGCGCGAAUGGGAGCAAUCCCUAGUAGAGCGGCGCACGGGUGCGUAACACGUGGGUAAUCUUCCUGGAAGACCGGGACAACCUGCCGAAAGGCUGGCUAAUACCGGAUAAGCUCACAGGGUCUUCGGACCUGGUGAGAAAAGGUGGCCUCUGUACACAAGCUAUCACUUCCAGAUGAGCCCGCGGCCCAUCAGCUAGUUGGCGGGGUAACGGCCCACCAAGGCGACGACGGGUAGCUGGUCUGAGAGGACGAUCAGCCACACUGGAACUGAGACACGGUCCAGACUCCUACGGGAGGCAGCAGUGGGGAGUUUUGCACAAUGGGCGCAAGCCUGAUGCAGCAACGCCGCGUGUGUGAUGAAGGUCUUCGGAUCGUAAAGCACUUUCGACUGGGACGAACACCCCUUGGCCAAUAUCCAAGGGCCUGACGGUACCGGGAGAAGAAGCACCGGCUAACUCUGUGCCAGCAGCCGCGGUAAUACAGAGGGUGCAAGCGUUGUUCGGAAUUAUUGGGCGUAAAGCGCGUGUAGGCGGCUUUGCAAGUCGGGUGUGAAAGCCCUCAGCUUAACUGAGGAUGUGCGCCCGAAACUGCAUGGCUUGAGUACCGGAGAGGAUGGCGGAAUUCCCCAAGUAGAGGUGAAAUUCGUAGAUAUGGGGAGGAACACCGGUGGCGAAGGCGGCCAUCUGGACGGAUACUGACGCUGAGACGCGAAAGCGUGGGGAGCAAACAGGAUUAGAUACCCUGGUAGUCCACGCCGUAAACGAUGAGAACUAGGUGUCGUGGGUGUUGACCCCCGCGGUGCCGCAGCUAACGCAUUAAUUUCUCCGCCUGGGAAGUACGGCCGCAAGGCUAAA